ACCUUAGGUCAGGCGAGAUUACUUGUUGAGUUUAAUCAUAUCAAUAAGUAGAGGAAAAGAAACUUACCAGAAUUCCUUCAAUAAUAGCAAGCAAACCAAAAAAGAGCUUAGCUUGAGAAUCAAGCACCCCUAUCAUUUGAAUUAUAGUUUGGAAAGGCAUUCUUAGUGGCAGACCAGGCCCAAGUCCCCUGGAAAAAGAUGUCAAAGAAGGUGAGAGCCCCAUUAUGCUUGGGCCCUGUCACACCAUGAGGCACUAUCUAUGAGUCAAGUUGUUUGGGAAUGCAGCCCUAAUCAAAUGGUAAAUUUCAUCCAAGGCUGAAUAUGGGCGAGAGAUCAAUAAUGAACAAGUACUAUAAGAGAAAGAUGAAAAAGUCUGUGAAAGAAAUGUCAAAGAGAGCUUGAAAUUGUCAUAAGGGAAAUGGAUGGAGGCUGACGAUGUGCCUAAGUUGGAUGUGGAUUGGUGAGAGUCGAUCAACCCAUUGGCUUAGGGUGUGGAUCGAUGCAGGUCAUGGUAGUGGCCCAAGUUGGGGCUUUUGAUAUGCCUGCAGAGACAUCAUUGUCAUGAUCAUGGAAUGCAGCAUAUGCCAUCUCAGCAUGCCCUAGCACCUGUAUGCUCCUGAUGUCAGCUUGCAAGCUCUCUAUCUGACUCGUCUUGAAAUAUGAACUAAUGAGUCUAAUAUGUGUGCGAGCCAAUAGGCAAGGAAACCCAUUAGGCAUAAGAAAGUUGAUUGGCAUGAUCCCUCGUGGGUGCACCAUUGAUUGACCUUGAUCUUAUGAUAAUGGUUCGAGUGUGAGCAUGCCUAUUAAGACCCAAAUGAUGGUGAACUAUGCUAGAGCAAGGUAAAGCUAGAGAAAACUUUGGUAGGAACCCACAACGAUGCUAAUAUCCAAAUCAUUCAUAUAACUUGGGUAUAGGGGUGAAAGACUAAUUGAAUCAUCUAGUAAUUGGUUCCCUUUAAAAUUUCCCUUAGGAUAGUUAGAGCUCUUAGUGAGUUCUAUUAGGUAAAGCCAAUGAUUAGAGGCAUCGGGGGUGCAAUGUCCUUGACCUAUUCUCAAACUUUCAAUAGGUAGGAUAGUGUAGCUGUUUUGUUAAGCCACAUCAUGGAAUAGAGAGAUCCAAGUGGGCCAUUUUUGGUAAGCAAAACUAGUAGUACAAGAUGAACAAGAACUCAAGUUACGAUGCCUAAAUGUUCACUUACCUGGAACCCAUAAAAGGUGUUGGUCAAUUAAGAUAGCAGGAUGGUGGUCAAGGAAGUCAAAAUCUGCUAAGAAGUGUGUAACAACUCACCUAUCUAAUCAACUAGCCCUUAAAAUGAAUGGACCUUAAGCACGUGACCCAUACCCAGCCAUCAAGGCAAAGGCCAGGCCCCAAUUAGUAGGAAGGGAUGGUUGUCACUUCAAAACAUAGGAUGUGAGCCUGUGCUAAGCAGCCAUCAGUGCUGAUUUUAUUGGUAGUAGCAAAUAUUCAAAUGAAAACUUUUAAAGGCCAAAGAGGGGAAAGGUUCCAUGUGAAUGGCACUUACACGUGGGUUAGUCAAUCCUAAGAGAUGGGGGAGGCUUAUUGAUAGUACGUCUAGCACGAGCUUCACAAUGAAAUUAGGUUAAAAUUACUAAACUAGGACAUGACGGUUGAUGACAACAUUAGGAAGUCUGAAGAUGUUGGCAGAGGCCUCAAAAAGAAUUAUCUUUUCAAUUUAAUGGCCUGCCUACCUUGGAAACAUCCUAGCUAAAGGUAGGGUAUAGUGGCCGAAAGAGCACCGCACGUUGUGUAGUGUUUGGUGUGCCCCUAGUGGCCAUUGAAACUUUGAAAGAUUGAGUGCCAUCCAUUCUCGAUUGUACUUAUAACUACAUCAAGUCUCCAAGGUGAAUAGCCUCUAGUCGAUCGAACAAUGUAGGCAAGGGAACUCAACAAAAUAGAUCUGUAACCUCAAGAAAAGUAUUGACUCUGAAGGCUAGGCACGGGGGUCUCAGUCCUAAACUUGUCAAAUACUGAUGCACUACUAAAGCUGAACCUAUAGCGAGUGUAGGUCACCAUGUGUUGACUGAAGGAUGGACUAGGAAUGGCUCUUUCGAAAGCCUUCUUGAGUGAUAAACAGUCAACUUAGAACUAGUACGGACUAGGGGAAUUUGAUUGUUUAAUUAAAACAAAGCAUUGCUAUGGUCACUACAAAUGCUCAUGCAAUGUUAUUUCUAUCCAGUGCUCUAAAUGUUAAAGUGAAGAAAUUCAACCAAGCAUAGGUAAAUGACAGGAGUAACUAUGACUCUCUUAAGGUAGCCAAAUGCCUUAUCAUCUAAUUAGUGACACACAUGAAUGGAUUAAUGAGAUUCCCACUAUCCCUAUCUACUAUCCAGUGAAACCAUUACCAAGGGAAUGGGCUUGGUGAAAUUAGUUGGGAAAGAAGACCCUAUUGAGCUUGACUCUAGUUUGACUUUGUGAAAUGACUUGAGAUGUGUAGGAUAAGCGGGAGUCCUUAGGCAAAAUUGAAAUACCACUACUUUUAAUGUUAUUUCACUUAUUCAUGAAUUAGAGAUAGAGCACGACCCCUUCUUUUGGAUCGAAGGCUAUCCUCAGUUAGUUGAUCUAGGUAGAAGACAUUGUUAGGUAGGGAGUUUGGCUAGGGUAGCACAUUUGUUAAAAGAUAACAUAGGUGUCCUAAAAUGAGCUCAAUGAGAAUAGCAAUCUCGUGUGGAACAAAAGGGUAAAAGCUCGUUUGAUUUUGAUUUUCAGUAUGAAUAUGAACUAUGAAAGGAUGGCCUGUCGAUCCUUUAAAUUUUUAGAAUUUAAAGCUAGAGGUGUCAAAAAAGUUACCACAAAGAUAACUAGCUUGUGGCAGCCAAGCAUUCAUAGCAAUGUUGCUUUUUUAUCCUUCAAUGUCGGCUCUUCCAAUAAUUAUGAAGCAAAAUUCACCAAGUGUUAGAUUGUUCACCCACCAAUAGGGAACGUGAGUUGGGUUUAGACCAUUGUGAGACAAGUUAGUUUUACCCUACUAAUGGUAACAUCACAAUAGUAAUUCAACCUAGUAUGAAAGGUAUGAUUGAUUCAUAGAAUUAAUCAUUAUGCUUGGUUAAAAAGCUAGCAACACGAAGCUACUAUGCACUAGAUUAAGAUUGAAUGCCUCUAAGUUAGAAUCUAGGCUAGAAGCAAUGCACAUGCCCGUCACCCAAUUGCCAAACCAUAGUAGGGGCCCAUGGCCCUAAGUGCAUGUGUCAUAGGUGUAGCCCCUAAGGCAAACAAGCCAUAUAGGCCUUCUUAGAGCUCAAUUCCCACCAAGUGAUGUGCAGAAUCCUUUGUAAAUGACUUAAAUAUGUGACAAGAUAUUGUAAGUGGUAGAGUGGCCUUGUUACCAUGAUCUACUAAGAUUCA
RNAcentral lists this ribosomal RNA (3364 nucleotides) under Durio zibethinus. Its description in RNAcentral is "eukaryotic LSU rRNA". It matches the Rfam family "Eukaryotic large subunit ribosomal RNA". Lineage: Eukaryota; Viridiplantae; Streptophyta; Magnoliopsida; Malvales; Malvaceae. The record is from RNAcentral.